AAGUCGUAACAAGGUUUCCGUAGGUGAACCUGCGGAAGGAUCAUUAUAAAAUUUUCAUAUAUUAUUUAUUUAAUAUAUAAAAUUAUAUGCAAAAUGUAUUCAAAACCCACACUCUUUAUAACCAUAAAAAAAAUUAUAUUAUUAUUUUUAUAAUAUAAAAAAAAAAACAACUUUCAACAACGGAUCUCUUGGCUCUC
RNAcentral lists this unclassified non-coding RNA (197 nucleotides) under Entrophospora etunicata. Its description in RNAcentral is "Claroideoglomus etunicatum partial internal transcribed spacer region". The stretch from base 1 to 46 matches the Rfam family "Eukaryotic small subunit ribosomal RNA", at positions 1786 to 1831 of the family's 1831-position model. Lineage: Eukaryota; Fungi; Glomeromycota; Glomeromycetes; Entrophosporales; Entrophosporaceae. The record is from RNAcentral.